AAUAUAUAUAUAUAUAUAUAUAUAUAUAUAUAGGGUUCGGCUACUAUACUAUUAUGAGUACGAUCGCCCUCGUAUUCAUAAGUUGUUUUCGAUGAUAGAGUUUCCGAAUCGACGAUCCACACCGUUAAACGUUAUUUACAGUAUUUAAAACUUCUAGAAAUCAAAUUUUAUCAUUUUUCGACAUCAUUUACCUAACGAUCAAGAGGUCACAAAUUUGACAACUUUUAACAGCCGGUAUGGAAUACUUGCUACUUUAACGGUGUAAAAGAAUCGAAAUUUGUUGAAUUUUUAAUAGAAAAUUCUAUUCACUACAUAGAUAAAGAUCAAUAACUCUGAUCUUGAAUUGAAUGAUCCGAUCAUCCUUUUUAGGACGUCGUUUGAUUUUGACUGUUCAUUUUAUGCCCAUUUGAUAGACUUUAUUAUGAUUUCGAAAAUUUACGAAAUUAUUUUCUAGAAGUUUCGAAUACUCUAGAUCAUAUUUAACGGAGUGGAUUGUCGAUUCAGAAACUCCAUCAUUGAAAAUAACUUAUGAGUACGAGGGCUUCAAUACUCAUAAUAGUAUAGUAGCCAUGGCCUAUAUAUAUAUAUAUAUAUAUAUAUAUAUAUAUAUAUAUAUAUAUAUAUAUNUAUAUAUAUAUAUAAUUAGGCUACUAUACUAUCUAUAGUACCGGAGCUCCGGUACUAUAGUCUUAUUUUCGAUUUUAGAGAGUUCAAAUUAAUGAUCUACACCGUUAAAUAUGAUCUAGAGUAUAUGAAGUUCUUAGUAAUAAAAUUUUAGUUUUUUUCGACAUCGUUUACUUAGUAAAUAAAUUAUGUCAAAAUAGACGGUGAAAAUUGAAUAAUCUUUAAAAUUUGAGUAUAGGACUUUUAAAUUCAAGAUCAAGAAUGUUAAUCUUAAUAUAGAUAGUUUAAAGUAUUUUCUAUCAAAAUUUGAAGAAAUUUAGAUUCUUCUACACCGUUAAACUCAAACUCACUAUAGUAGCCAUUGAAAAUUGACAAUUUUAAAAUGAUUUGAUCAUAAAGUAAACUAUGUCGAAAAAAUAUAAAAUUUUAUUUCUAAAAACUUUAAAUAUCCUAAAUCAGUUUUAACGGUGUGGAUCGUUGAUUUGAUCACCCUAAGAUCGAAAACGAGACUAUAGUAACAGAGCCCCGGUACAAUAGAUAGUAUAGGAGACUAGCUCUAUAUAUAUAUAUAUAUGCACACA
This 1205-nucleotide long non-coding RNA is filed under the name Ananas comosus (pineapple). RNAcentral's name for it is "long non-coding RNA (ACOM_LNC010566)". Lineage: Eukaryota; Viridiplantae; Streptophyta; Magnoliopsida; Poales; Bromeliaceae. The record is from RNAcentral.